GUCUUUUUGUGUUUAAUAAAAAGUCUGACCUGCCCUAUGUUUAAUAUAAAUGGCCGCGGUAUUUUGACCGUGCGAAGGUAGCAUAAUGAGUAGUCCAUUAAUUAUGGUCUGGAAUGAAAGGUUUUACAAGGAGGAACUUUCUUAUUAUUAUUUAUGAACUUGAAUUGUUAGUAAAAAUGCUAAUAUGUUUCAGGGGGACGAGAAGACCCUAUAGAGCUUUACAUUUUUAUUAUUAUUAGUGGUAUUAAAAAUAAUUAUGUGUUUUGUUGGGGCGACAGUAGAUGUAAACAUUUAUUAUUAAUUCUGUUUUAUAGGUUUUUGAUCCAUUAAUAAUGAAUUAAGACUAAGCUACCUUAGGGAUAACAGCGUAAUUUUAUCUUAGAGUUCUUAUCGACGAUUAAGAUUGCGAC
RNAcentral lists this ribosomal RNA (410 nucleotides) under Otostigmus voprosus. Its description in RNAcentral is "partial small subunit ribosomal RNA". It matches the Rfam family "Bacterial large subunit ribosomal RNA", at positions 1819 to 2524 of the family's 2925-position model. The record is from RNAcentral. Lineage: Eukaryota; Metazoa; Arthropoda; Chilopoda; Scolopendromorpha; Scolopendridae.